GCCCAAAACAUGACUCCACCACCACCUUGCUGACAUCGCAGCCUUGUUGGAACAGGGUGGCCGUCCACCAACCAUCCACUACUCCAUCCAUCUGGACCAUCCAGGGUUGCACGGCACUCAUCAGUGAACAGGACUGUUUGAAAAUUAGUCUUCAUGUAUUUUUCUGCCCAAUGCAGCCGUUUCUGCUUGUGAGCAUUGGUUAGUGGUGGCCGAAUAGAAGGUUUAUGCACAGUUGCAAGACUCUGGAG
Pelobates cultripes (western spadefoot toad) is the source of this 248-nucleotide non-coding RNA. The record is from the annotation of a GenBank genome assembly. Lineage: Eukaryota; Metazoa; Chordata; Amphibia; Anura; Pelobatidae.